Cygnus olor (mute swan) is the source of this 1406-nucleotide long non-coding RNA. RefSeq lists it as uncharacterized. The record is from RefSeq and is a predicted model, not a curated record. The transcript has 5 exons. NCBI's taxonomy places the organism in Eukaryota, Metazoa, Chordata, Aves, Anseriformes, Anatidae.
CUGCUUAAAUAUAGUGGCUUAAAAAUGUGUCUAUUAACAUUUCAGAUGUCAUGAAUAGCUGAACUAAGAGAUUGGAAAAUAGAGCACAAGACUUAUCAGAGGCCUGCAUCUUUUUGGACUUAGACGUUGUAUUGCUCUGCAGGGUAGCCCACUGUUUAAGAAGGUACAUCUCUGUUUGAAAAUAUGCUGAAGAUUUUCAACCAAAAUAAGAGAGUUUUGCAAGCAUGAACUAUUUUUUUAUGUUCCCUGAUUCUCGAUGUGCUGUACAGUCAGAUGUGAUUCUGAGGGGAAACCAUCCUUUCAUUCUUGCUCUCUCACAAUUGCGAAAUUAUUUGUGUGAAAACUCUUGCUGUAUGUCAUUAGUCCUACUUAACUCUUAACGGUACUAACUGUGUACUAACCGAUUGUGUUGCAGAGCUAAUGGUCUGUGUAAAAACUGUACUUGAAACAAAGGAAUACACUUUACAAAUUCUGUAAAGAGUGACAAGGCAGUUCUGAAAUCUAAAAAGACAUGUAAAGCACAAAGUAAAGAAGAAAGGAAUGAAAUCUAAGAAGCUAUCAAGAAAGGAAUACAGUCAACACUUCAGUUUACUCAAGCUAAGUAGAGCACAGAAGAUAAGCUGUAGUGACCAAGGACUGCUGAAAAAUGUGAACAAGACAGUGCCAUUUGCUGUACUUCACAGUACAUAAAAAAUAUGACAACCAUCUGUCACAUGCAACUAAACAUCCAGUUCAGCAUAUCCACUGCACUACCAAGUGCUCCAUACACAAGCUCAUACUUCCUUUACUUUUGGGAGCAUGCAGCAGCACAGCAAGUGCACUGGAGAAGAAGCUUCAGGUACAAUAUCUGCUGCUGAAGACAGAGAAACUGCCUUGAAAAAUCAUCACCCCACAAGACCUCACUGUGCGACAGCCCAGCUGUAAAAUUCCCAAAGUCAUCCCUCCUCCUCAGUAGGGUAAAGCUUAAUGGAAAACUUCAGUGCUGAAAGUCACCUUCUAGCCUUAAAGACACGUUUGGUUUGUGUGUGCUAUUUAUACAUUUUAGAAUCACAGAAUGGCUCAACUUGUGUCUUACAAGAGUUGAGCAGAGCACAGCGGUUGCCUUCACAGUAUUCAGCAGAAAUUUCCCCUAGAAUUCCUCCUGGUGCAGAAGUUCAUCCACAUCUCCAUUUUGCAGUGAUCAAUUACGUGAUAUCCCAUGGACCUCUCUUUCGUGCUGCUAAAUGAGGCAGAGCAACCUCACUGACACUUCUUGAGAAAUACCAUUCACAGCUGAUCCCAUCUCCAGGCUGUUUGCUGAAAUUGGAAAUGAAACUGUCUCUUCACACUGGGCUUCCUGUACUCCAUGACACUCACAGUUUUGCAUAGACUGGGAAAGUCUCAUCAUCAAGAAUACGCCACUGCUG